AUAUUGCGCAAUGGGCGAAAGCCUGACGCAGCGACGCCGCGUGAGGGAUGAAGGUCUUCGGAUCGUAAACCUCUGUCAGGAGGGAAGAAGUGGUUAUAUGCGAAUAGUGUAUGACUUUGACGGUACCUCCAAAGGAAGCACCGGCUAACUCCGUGCCAGCAGCCGCGGUAAUACGGAGGGUGCGAGCGUUAAUCGGAAUCACUGGGCGUAAAGCGCGCGUAGGCGGCUUUUCAAGUCAGGGGUGAAAUCCCACGGCCCAACCGUGGAACUGCCUUUGAAACUGUAGAGCUUGAGUGUCGGAGAGGGUGGCGGAAUUCCAGGUGUAGGAGUGAAAUCCGUAGAUAUCUGGAGGAACACCGGUGGCGAAGGCGGCCACCUGGACGACAACUGACGCUGAGGUGCGAAAGCGUGGGUAGCAAACAGG
RNAcentral lists this ribosomal RNA (424 nucleotides) under uncultured bacterium. Its description in RNAcentral is "bacterial SSU rRNA". It matches the Rfam family "Bacterial small subunit ribosomal RNA", at positions 361 to 776 of the family's 1533-position model. The record is from RNAcentral.